RNAcentral lists this transfer RNA (18 nucleotides) under Scincella lateralis (ground skink). RNAcentral describes it as "partial tRNA-Thr". Lineage: Eukaryota; Metazoa; Chordata; Lepidosauria; Squamata; Scincidae. The record is from RNAcentral.
UAAGUAAAUAGCCUUAGU